This 207-nucleotide ribosomal RNA is filed under the name uncultured bacterium. RNAcentral describes it as "partial 16S ribosomal RNA". It matches the Rfam family "Bacterial small subunit ribosomal RNA", at positions 568 to 774 of the family's 1533-position model. The record is from RNAcentral.
CACGUAGGCGGUUGGGUAAGCCUCUUGGGAAAUCUUCCGGCCUAACCGGAAAAGGUCGAGGGGAACUGCUCAGCUAGAGGACGGGAGAGGAGCGCGGAAUUCCCGGUGUAGCGGUGAAAUGCGUAGAUAUCGGGAAGAAGGCCGGUGGCGAAGGCGGCGCUCUGGAACGUACCUGACGCUGAGGUGCGAAAGCGUGGGGAGCAAACA